This 1154-nucleotide long non-coding RNA is filed under the name Homo sapiens (human). RNAcentral describes it as "non-protein coding TOLLIP-AS1:2". The record is from RNAcentral. Lineage: Eukaryota; Metazoa; Chordata; Mammalia; Primates; Hominidae.
UCUCCUCGAGCCCUGCAGCCCGGCGAAAUGGCUCCCGGCGGGGCCGUUUGCGCAUGCCCAGUCAUGACGGUUGUCGGCGCGGGCCCUAGCGUGGCGGCGCUGCAGUCUGGGCAGUGGGUUGGUUCCUCCUCGGUCCUCUGUCGAGUGGCGACAGGGCCUAGCCACCUGGCGGGGGUGACCUUCGGACGUGCGACCCGCUCGGAGAAGGGAGGGAACUGUGGCCCGCAACAAAGCAGUGACAGGCCCGACAUCCCCUGCAGGGCGAUCUUUCCCUCAGCUGCCUGCCGGAGGAAGGGCCUUUCUGUUUCACAGGGCUAAAGAUGGGGCGCGGUUCCUCCACGGGGCGGCUGCCGGGUGAACGGAACGGGGAUGGAGGCGCUGCCAGAAGAGCCCGAGCUCGAGCCCGCCCUGCCCUCGGCCUCCCCGCCGCGCCGCUCCGCAGGAGCCCCGCUCCUCUCCUGCUCGCUCCGGAGAACCCCAGUCCGGCCUGACCUCGGCCCUCGCGGUCAGGCGCUCCAACCAGAGCGACUCCAGCUCGAACAGCGCUGGGUAAACUGAGGCUGAACCCCGCUGGCUGCAUCCCCAGGAGUCGGGCGUUUACGGUCACGGGAACAGGUUAAUAAACUUUUACGCAGCAGACCCGGAACUUAGGUCCCGAUGUCCGGGUAUCUUAAGAACAAGAAGCAUUCUUAGUUGAAGUUUCGCUUUAAAGAUAAUGAUACAGAUGCUUGCGGAGGACAGGCGUUAUGCAAAGAUUGGCAAUCCUUUGACGAGCCCAGGUAGUACAGCACGUCUCCCCCGUGAUGUUUUUUGGCUUUUAUCUUACAUAUAAACAAGCGUACCCAGGUGGACGCCUUCCUCCUCGUGCUUUUGGGAACACCCUGCUCUAUGGAGUAGCCAUUCUUUUAUUCCUUCACUGCCUUAAUAAACUUGCUUUCACUUUACUCUGUGGACUGGCCUGGAAUUCUUUCUUCCACAAGAUCCACGAAUCCUCUUUUGGGGUCUGGAUCAGGACCCUUUUCCGGUAACACAACCACUCCACUAAAAACUCUUUGUCAGUGAUCUCUAUAUUGUUAGUGGUCAGUUCUCAGUCCUCGUCCUCCGGGAACUACAGCAAAAUCGAUAGUCAUUCUUGCUACACAUGCUUUCUUCAC